UGGGGAAUAUUGGGCAAUGGGCGCAAGCCUGACCCAGCAACGCCGCGUGAGGGAGGAAGGCUUUCGGGUUGUAAACCUCUGUCCUUGGUGACGAAACAAAUGACGGUAGCCAAGGAGGAAGCCCCGGCUAACUACGUGCCAGCAGCCGCGGUAAUACGUAGGGGGCGAGCGUUAUCCGGAAUUACUGGGCGUAAAGGGUGCGUAGGUGGCCUUUUAAGUUGGAUGUGAAAUACCCGGGCUUAACCUGGGGGGUGCAUCUAAUACUGGGAGGCUAGAGUGCAGGAGAGGAAAGCGGAAUUCCUAGUGUAGCGGUGAAAUGCGUAGAUAUUAGGAGGAACACCAGUGGCGAAGGCGGCUUUCUGGACUGUAAUUGACACUGAGGCACGAAAGCGUGGGGAGCAAACAG
RNAcentral lists this ribosomal RNA (406 nucleotides) under uncultured bacterium. RNAcentral describes it as "bacterial SSU rRNA". It matches the Rfam family "Bacterial small subunit ribosomal RNA", at positions 355 to 775 of the family's 1533-position model. The record is from RNAcentral.